This 21-nucleotide microRNA is filed under the name Hevea brasiliensis (rubber tree). Its description in RNAcentral is "hbr-miR6169". The record is from miRBase by way of RNAcentral. Lineage: Eukaryota; Viridiplantae; Streptophyta; Magnoliopsida; Malpighiales; Euphorbiaceae.
UAGUAUUUCUCUUUUCUCUCU